Castor canadensis (American beaver) is the source of this 252-nucleotide non-coding RNA. The record is from RefSeq and is a predicted model, not a curated record. Lineage: Eukaryota; Metazoa; Chordata; Mammalia; Rodentia; Castoridae.
AGCAUAAACUUUGAACAACUACAAAUCAUAGGAACCAUGGAGACAGCAAUGAAGCAACAAACAUGACCAAGGAAAGGAAUCCUAGCAGAAUAAGGGCUAAUCUUCUAAGUGCUUCUAAUGUGUAUGUAAAAGAAUCUGUGUACCAACAAGUGAUGCAAACUCUGGAGAUGAACCUCACCAACCUGGUUAAGCGCAACAGUGAACUAGAAAAUCAAAUGGCCAAACUAAUACAGAUCUGCCAGCAGGUUGAGG